GGGCCCGUAGCCUAGCCAGGAUAAGGGCGCCGGCCUUCGGAGCCGGAGGUCCCGGGUUCAAAUCCCGGCGGGCCCG
This 76-nucleotide transfer RNA is filed under the name Desulfurococcales archaeon. Its description in RNAcentral is "tRNA-Arg". It matches the Rfam family "tRNA". From Rfam's summary of the family: Transfer RNA (tRNA) molecules are approximately 80 nucleotides in length. Their secondary structure includes four short double-helical elements and three loops (D, anti-codon, and T loops). Lineage: Archaea; Thermoproteati; Thermoproteota; Thermoprotei; Desulfurococcales. The record is from RNAcentral.